UCAGAAGAACUAUCAGCAGCCGACAACCUUCCUUAUAACAGUAACAGUGCUGCAUUAGAUUCUUGGCAUUAAAGUUUAAAUGACAGUGGUUGAUAAUAUAUGAUAAUAUGCUACUAUUAUACCACUCUUUUACAUAAAGAAUAAGAAAACGCUCCAAAAUCUUUAUUUUGCUCUGUUAGUUUAUUUGGUUAUGUUGUCUAAAGUGUAAUCUAGGCCUAGUAUGUUGUAACAAAUUUUGUGUUUGAUUCGGAGCAUAUUUUGAUGCCAAUGUCCGCUUCGUAAAUUAUGAACAAGAGCCUGAAUAACAAUUAAUUCAUACAAAUAUGCCUUUAGGAUACUACAGCAAGUACGUUACUCAGAGAGGUGCCCUCAAGUCUUGCAUGCUUUUCCUUUUCCACUUGGCUUGGAAAAGUAGGAUUAAACUACCAAUACUAAUUGCCAUUGGAUUCAUGGUGUUGGAUAUUAGGAUGCAGCUAGAGAUUAAUUUCAACAUGGGCAGAGGAAGAGACGAUGUACCAGAUGACCCAGAAAAUGUAUAUGAAGGCGUUGAGGAUAUUGACACACCUUCUGAAAUGUCAGGCACAGAAGUGAGUGAAACAGAAUCAUUCUCAACCGAGCCUUCCUCAGACAUGGAAGAGGAUGAAAAGGAGAAGUGCAGUGAUGGUUUUUGUUGCCCUGAUGAUAAUGAUGGUGAAGAUAAGCCACUCUUAGGGUAGAUAAGAGUGAGAGCAACAUCAGGAGUUAAAAUAAACAAUUGUAAGCCAUUUAUGUAUAUAUGGAAUGUUAGUGAUUUCACUUGAUACUAAAAAGUAGGCAUGUUUAACUUGUAUACUUAGGUACUUCGUAACUUGCCAAAUUAUACUAGCUAAUCAAGAAGGAAACGAAAAGAGAUUAAUUUUUCUAUUCAAAUUCAAAUUGAAGAUAUCUAAACAUCUAAUAUCUCAAUUAGUUGUGUACUCCAUUUUGGUAAAAUUAAUAUGUAAAUAUUGUUGUUGAUUAUUACUGUAUUUAGGCUUAACUUACUUUACGACAAAAAAGAAGUAAAAACUAGUCUUGAAAGAACCAAUAUUUCCUCAACAAGUUAUUGAUUUGAGCUCUUACUGUUCUCUACAAUCAAGUUGUGCAAGGGCUGUUUCCUAAGGACAGGGGCUUCUGGUUAUAGCCUACGUAUACCUAAUAGUAAUGAUGAGGUACAGUAAUUUUGUCAAUCUUAAAAGUCUAUUAAAAUUCAAAAAGUUUAUAGUUCAAUCACUGCUUAAACCGGACAUAUUUAUAAAACUCCGCCGCAGCAAACAUAUGUAUAAUAUUAUAUAUAUUAUGAAUAUGUAUAAUAUAUAAAUUAUAUAAUAUAUGUACAAUAUUAUAUAUUAAUAGGCAAGCAUGUUUCUUUAAAACAUUUUCUCAGCUCGUGUAAGUUACAUCGCAGGGAAUACGCAUAGGCCUAUCGUUAAAAAGAUAUUUUCCUGUAGAUGGGCAGAAUCCCUUUAAAAAUUAAAAUAGGAUCAAAAAUAAAUCGUUUCCGGGUCCAGGUCUUACCAUGAGAUCUAAUGUAAUAGCUAUUCCCUAUUUGGGAAAUUUGUGAAAUAAUAAAAAAAAGGUCAGUCUAAUUUACUGAAGCUUUCAAGUGAAAACAGUUGUAACAUUUUUGUUAUAUUUCUUGAGUUGCCUACUGUAGGCAUAACUUGUGUAUAUAAUACUGUAUUUUCACUAUCCAAUUAAUUGUUGUGAUAGUAGCCUAGGCUUAAAGCAACUUUGUAUUAAUUUAGUAAUACUGAAUAAUUUGGGGUUUUGAGUAAUAAUUUUAAUAAAUAUUUGUAGGUAA
Macrosteles quadrilineatus (aster leafhopper) is the source of this 1822-nucleotide RNA transcript. RefSeq lists it as uncharacterized. The record is from RefSeq and is a predicted model, not a curated record. NCBI's taxonomy places the organism in Eukaryota, Metazoa, Arthropoda, Insecta, Hemiptera, Cicadellidae. The transcript has 2 exons.